RNAcentral lists this ribosomal RNA (273 nucleotides) under uncultured bacterium. RNAcentral describes it as "partial 16S ribosomal RNA". It matches the Rfam family "Bacterial small subunit ribosomal RNA", at positions 46 to 334 of the family's 1533-position model. The record is from RNAcentral.
AGGCCUAACACAUGCAAGUCGAACGAGAAGCCACCUUCGGGUGGUGGACAGUGGCAGACGGGUGAGUAACGCGUGGGAACGUGCCUUUCGGUUCGGGAUAACCCAGGGAAACUUGGGCUAAUACCGGAUACGCCCUUCGGGGGAAAGAUUCAUUUGCCGAAAGAUCGGCCCGCGUCGGAUUAGCUAGUUGGUGGGGUAAUGGCCUACCAAGGCGACGAUCCGUAGCCGGUCUGAGAGGAUGACCAGCCACACUGGGACUGAGACACGGCCCAG